AAGUGAAUAUGAUGACUAUCUUUCGGGUCUGAUUUGCUGUGAAGACAACCUUACCCAACGUGUACUGAUUCACUU
Small nucleolar RNA from Mytilus californianus (California mussel), 75 nucleotides. RefSeq annotates it as small nucleolar RNA SNORD2. The record is from RefSeq and is a predicted model, not a curated record. Lineage: Eukaryota; Metazoa; Mollusca; Bivalvia; Mytilida; Mytilidae. The transcript has a single exon.